This 639-nucleotide ribosomal RNA is filed under the name uncultured bacterium. RNAcentral's name for it is "bacterial SSU rRNA". It matches the Rfam family "Bacterial small subunit ribosomal RNA", at positions 8 to 655 of the family's 1533-position model. The record is from RNAcentral.
AGAGUUUGAUCCUGGCUCAGGAUGAACGCUAGCGGCAGGCCUAAUACAUGCAAGUCGAACGGUGAUAGCAAUAUCAUAGUGGCGCACGGGUGCGUAACACGUAUGCAACCUACCUUAUACUGAGGGAUAGCCUUUCGAAAGGGAGAUUAAUACCUCAUAACACAUUGAACUGGCAUCAGUUUAUUGUUAAAGAUUUAUUGGCAUAAGAUGGGCAUGCGUCCAAUUAGUUAGUUGGCGAGGUAACGGCUCACCAAGACGAUGAUUGGUAGGGGAACUGAGAGGUUAAUCCCCCACACUGGCACUGAGAUACGGGCCAGACUCCUACGGGAGGCAGCAGUAGGGAAUAUUGGGCAAUGGAGGCAACUCUGACCCAGCCAUGCCGCGUGCAGGAGGAAGGCGUUAUGCGUUGUAAACUGCUUCUAUAUAGGAAGAAAUAGACCUUGCGAGGUAAGUUGACGGUACUAUAUGAAUAAGCACCGGCUAACUCCGUGCCAGCAGCCGCGGUAAUACGGAGGGUGCAAGCGUUGUCCGGAUUUAUUGGGUUUAAAGGGUGCGUAGGCGGUUUAUUAAGUCAGUGGUGAAAGACGGUCGCUCAACGAUUGCAGUGCCAUUGAUACUGGUAGACUUGAGUGGGAUUGA